This 45-nucleotide non-coding RNA is filed under the name Trichobilharzia regenti. The record is from RNAcentral. Lineage: Eukaryota; Metazoa; Platyhelminthes; Trematoda; Strigeidida; Schistosomatidae.
AUCCAGAUGACGAGUCUCACAAAGGACGAAACGAUCGUCUUGAAU